AUCGACGACUCAGCUGCACCAUAAGCACCCACACGAAUUGCUUGAUUCAUUGAAGAAGACGAUUAGAAGCAGCGCCCGAGUUCGGGUCUGUAGCUCAGUUGGUUAGAGCGCACCCCUGAUAAGGGUGAGGUCGGCAGUUCGAAUCUGCCCAGACCCACCAGUUUACUGGUGAGAUAGCUGGUCAGAGAGACGCCUCCACGGUAUGUAGAAAUACGGGGCCAUAGCUCAGCUGGGAGAGCGCCUGCCUUGCACGCAGGAGGUCAGCGGUUCGAUCCCGCUUGGCUCCACCACUUACUGCUUCUGUUUGAAAGCUUAGAAAUGAGCAUUCCAUUGAUCCUGAUGAUCAGUGCCUGAAUGUUGAUUUCUAGUCUUUGAUUAGAUCGUUCUUUAAAAAUUUGGGUAUGUGAUAGAAAGAAAUAUAGACCGGGCACCUCUUUCACUGGUGUGUGUCCGGGCUAAGGUAAAGUUUGUGAAAUGCAAACUUUCGGCGAAUGUCGUCUUCACAGUAUAA
RNAcentral lists this transfer RNA (511 nucleotides) under Pseudomonas syringae pv. pisi. RNAcentral describes it as "partial 16S-23S ribosomal RNA intergenic spacer". The stretch from base 84 to 157 matches the Rfam family "tRNA". Lineage: Bacteria; Pseudomonadati; Pseudomonadota; Gammaproteobacteria; Pseudomonadales; Pseudomonadaceae. The record is from RNAcentral.